GACGAACGCUGGCGGCGUGCUUAACACAUGCAAGUCAAGGGGAAAUACCGGCUUCGGUUGGUAGAGUAUACUGGCGGACGGGUGAGUAACGCGUAGGCAACCUGCCCUUAUGAGAGGGAUAAUCCGACGAAAGGCGGCCUAAUACCUCAUAACACAUUGAAUUCACAUGGGUUUAAUGUCAAAGGUUUGUUUGCAAGAGCAGACGCAUAAGGAUGGGCCUGCGUUCCAUUAGUUAGUUGGUGGGGUAACGGCUCACCAAGGCAGCGAUGGAUAGCUGAUUUGAGAGAGUGAUCAGCCACACUGGGACUGAGAUACGGCCCAGACUCCUACGGGAGGCAG
RNAcentral lists this ribosomal RNA (339 nucleotides) under uncultured Deferribacteres bacterium. Its description in RNAcentral is "bacterial SSU rRNA". It matches the Rfam family "Bacterial small subunit ribosomal RNA", at positions 28 to 351 of the family's 1533-position model. Lineage: Bacteria; Pseudomonadati; Deferribacterota; Deferribacteres. The record is from RNAcentral.